This 220-nucleotide ribosomal RNA is filed under the name Streptococcus danieliae. RNAcentral's name for it is "partial 16S ribosomal RNA". It matches the Rfam family "Bacterial small subunit ribosomal RNA", at positions 1 to 213 of the family's 1533-position model. Lineage: Bacteria; Bacillati; Bacillota; Bacilli; Lactobacillales; Streptococcaceae. The record is from RNAcentral.
AUUUUGGAGAGUUUGAUCCUGGCUCAGGACGAACGCUGGCGGCGUGCCUAAUACAUGCAAGUCGAGCGAAGUUUAAGAGAUGCUUGCAUCACUUGAACUUAGCGGCGAACGGGUGAGUAACACGUAAAGAACCUGCCUCAUAGACUGGGACAACUACUGGAAACGGUAGCUAAUACCGGAUAAUAUAUUUCUUUGCAUGAAGGAAUAUGUUGGCAGGAUG